This is an RNA transcript of Hevea brasiliensis (rubber tree), 5047 nucleotides long. It is a transcript of the gene named putative E3 ubiquitin-protein ligase LIN-1, with no coding region annotated. Lineage: Eukaryota; Viridiplantae; Streptophyta; Magnoliopsida; Malpighiales; Euphorbiaceae. The record is from RefSeq and is a predicted model, not a curated record. The transcript has 20 exons.
UCUAAAAUACAAGCUAGUUCACAACAACAUAGAAUUUGGCUACAACAGUCACGAAAAAUUGUUUUAAACCUUCAAUUCACUGCCAGCCCUUAUAUAUCCAUUUCUUCAAUCUCUCUCUCUCUUAUCCUCCAUGGUUUGCUUCUCUUUUUCUCUCAAGAAAUGUACACGUCUAAGAGCUCCAUGGCCUCUAGUUCUUCCUUUUCUUGCUCGCCUUUAUCUCAUGAUUAUGAGAGACCAGACCUUGAAUCCAUAAAGGCGCUUCUAAUUGCAGUAAAUGAAUAUUUUCUCGAGUUCUUAGCAAACGCUGAAUUAUGGAAUUCUUUGAAAUCUCAGUGCAUUUCCAAGCUAAAUAUUAGAAAGCAGGAGUUCUUUGAAUUCUAUGAGCAUUCAGUACUCUCAAAUCUUUACUGGGGCAUUGAAAACAUUGAAGCUGCAAUACAUGCAAAAUGCACAGAAGAGAAAACUACUUGGCUAAUGAACUCGGAAAGAAUGCUUCAGGCCCCAGCAUUGCUUGAUGAACACGGAGUCACAGCUGGAAUUCAAAACCACUACUUGGUUUGCAGUUCAUAUUUUUACCUCUCAGCAGUUAGGAAGCUCCAAAAUGAUGAGUGGCAAGUUGCCCUCCAUUUUCUCCAAGCCAUGUUGGUGUCUCCAAGACUUGUUCGAACUGAACUUGCGCCAGAACUGUGUGGAAAUCUCUUUCCUUCGAGCAUUGUUUUGGAAAUUCAAAUCAUGGGUGGAAAGAAUAAUAAUGAAUCUGUGGCAGAUUUUCUUAAGGAGGCCAAUGUCAAUGAUGCAAUCAGGGAGAUUGCAAGGAGAUACAAACACUGGCUAAUGUAUUAUCAGGUCAUGUUACAUGGAGCAACUCCUCAGUGGCAUUGCAGAAGCAGAGGGAGUUCGUCCUAUAAAGGCGAGUCACUGCGUUUUUGGCAAGCGACUAGCAGGACUGACUCUUCAAAUUCAAUAGAGCACGAAUACUUCCAAAAGUACAAGGACAAGAAAUUGCAUCCAUUUGGUCCUCAACAAUAUACAGUUGAUGAUACAGCAGAGAAACCUAAGACAUGCACGGAAAUUCGAGAACUUCAGGAUGACAAUAAAGCUUUUAAUCAGUUGGAUCAAGUUCCAAAGUUGAAAAUUCAGACUGAAAAGUAUAAAAGCAUCAAAUGCCUCAAGGAAGUACUGUUGGAAUCCCAAUCAGAUACACCAACUUCAGCAAAUUCAAGCUACAGUUAUUAUCUGGAAGAAGAUGAUGGAGAGGUAAAUAUGGAUGAAAGUAUAAGCUCAAUCAGAACUGCAGGUGAAGAUGAUCUGCAACCAGAAGUUUGUGAUCAGAUGCCGCAGGCUUCUUGCUUCACAUUGGACCAACUAUGCACAAUGAUGAAUUUUCCACCUGCUUCUCAACAAAAAGUGCAGGAAGUUGAUCAAGUAAAUAUUAGUAGCUUCUCUUCUGGAAGAUUCCCCGAUUCUAUCAGUUGUUUUGAUUUAUCCAUCUUGGAACUUAGAAAUAAAAAGUCAGGCGCCCUCCAGGAUCGCAAUGUUGAAGACAAUUCAGCUCAGAGGACAUCAUGGAAACACAAUGCCCAAGUCACUAAUCAAGUGGCAACUGCAGCAUUGCAGAGUUGUAGGCUCAUGCAGAGGGAUGACCAGAAAAAAGUUAAGGAUAAGAAGGAGUACUCUCACUGCCAAAAUAACUUGAAUGAACUUUGUCUUCAAUCUGGAAAGGAUUCCAACAGUGAGUUAAUGGUGAUACUUGAGAAAAUUAUUUCAAGACUAUGCUUCUCAGAAGGAUUAGCAAAAUGUGAGGAAGACUAUGCUGUCAAAGUUACAGCCGUUUACAAAAUGUUAGACAGCAAAAAAGAAAUAAAAUACACAAUCUUAAAGGAUUUUAUUCUGGAUCAGCUGCUGACUGCUAUAUCAACAUCUAAAGAGGAAAAUGUCACAAGGGCAUCAAUUUCUAUUCUUACAAGUAUUGUGUCAAUAAACAAGUCAGCUAUAGAAGAUAUCAAGAAUAAGGGUUUGCGGUUGUGUGAUUUGGUAACUGCUCUAAAGCAAAAUAUGCAUGAGGCAGCUAUUCUUAUCUACUUUAUAAAUCCUCCCCCAGAAGAAAUAAAAACAUUAGAACUUUUGCCAGAAUUGAUGGAGAUUGUGUGCACUUCAAACAGCUAUAAAGGAAAACCAGCUUCAGAACUGCUGACACCUCCUGCAGCAUCAUUGAUGAUUAUUGAAAUACUAGUAACUGCAUUUGACUGCGAUACCAAUAACAUGCAGUUGGCUGCAAUCAGUUCUCCCCAUAUUCUUAGUAGGCUCCCAGAUGUUGCUAGAGAUAAUAAUUUGGAAGAAUGCAUCUCCAUGGCCAAAAUUUUUAUAAAAUGCAUGCAGUUUGAUGGACAAUGCAGAAAACAUAUAUCACAACUUACUCCUCUGGCUCCAUUUAAACGUCUACUACAAAGUAAUGAGAAGCGUGCCAAGUUCACAGCCCUUCAAUUUUUCCAUGAAAUCCUUUGCAUGCCAAGGUCAUCAGCCAUUAGCCUGUUGCAGCGGAUACGUAAAGAAGGAAGUGAUGACAUUAUGAACUUGCUGUUGCAGUGUGUCCAACAACUUCAAGCUGACUACCAACUUUUGGCAGCAAAUUUAUUACUGCAGUUAGAUGUUCUGGGACAUUCAUCUGGUAAAAGUAUGUUCAUGGAAGAGGCCAUGCAAAUCAUCCUCAAGUCGGUGGCAUCUGAAGAAAACUCUACUUUGCAACAAAUAUCUACUUUCAUUCUGGCAAACAUUGGAGGAACUUAUAGUUGGACAGGGGAACCAUACACAGUGGCCUUGCUGGUGAAAAAGGCUGGCGUGACCUCCUUGUAUCACCGGAAUAUGAUCAGAAACUUUAACUGGUCAGACCUUAGCCUGCAGGAUGCAGGAAUGGACUCAUGGUGUAGCAAGAUUGCAAAAGGCAUCAUUAGUAUUGGGAAACCUGUCUUCCAUGCUUUAGAGAAAGGCAUAAGAAGUAAGAUCAAGUGGGUCUCUAAGAACUCUCUCACAGCAAUCGCAUGGAUUGGAUGUGAAAUUGCCAAGUAUCCUAACAGCCUAAGAAAUUCUGCAUGUGAGAUACUGCUUAAUGGAAUUGAGCAAUUUCUGCAUCCAGGGGCAGCGCUUGAAGAAAGACUGCUAGCAUGUCUGUGCAUUUAUAACUAUACUUCAGGCAGAGGGAUGCAGAAACUAAUCCAUUUCUCAGAAGGAGUACGAGAGUCCCUAAGACGCUUUUCAAGUGUAACCUGGAUGGCUGAGGAACUACAUAGAGUAGCAGACUUUUACUUGCCCAACAAAUCUCGUAUAUCCUGUGUACAUACACAAAUUUUAGAGGCAAAACAGAGCAAAAGUGGAGCUGUAACUGCCCUUAUCUACUACAGGGGACUGCUUUACAGUGGCUAUUCUGAUGGUUCAAUUAAGGUGUGGGACAUCAAACAGCAGUCAGCCACUCUUGUAUGGGACCUGAAAGAGCACAAAAAGGCAGUGACAUGUUUUUCACUCUUUGAACCUGGGGAAAGCCUUCUAAGCGGAUCUGCUGAUAAGACCAUCAGGGUUUGGCAAAUGGUCCAUAGGAAAUUGGAGUGCAUUGAAGUUAUAGCAAUGAAGGAACCAAUUCAAAAGAUAGAAACAUAUGGCCAAAUGAUUUUUAUGAUCACCCAAAGCCAUAGGAUGAAGGUGUUUGAUUCAUCCAGAAUAGUAAGGGAGAUGAGCAAGACUAAGAGGGCGAAGUGCAUGUGUGCAGUCCAAGGGAAGCUUUACAUAGGCUGCAUGGAUUCAAGCAUACAGGAAGUAGCCACUGCAAACAAUAAGGAGAGAGAGAUCAAACCACCAAUAAAGAGUUGGAGGAUUCAAAACAAGCCAAUCAAUUCUAUUGUUGUGCACAAAGAUUGGCUUUACAGUGCGAGUUCAAUAGUUGAGGGUUCAAAACUUAAGGAAUGGAGAACACAAUACAAACCCCAAAUGUCAAUAGUAACAGAGAAAGGCAGAAAUAUACUAGCAAUAGGAGUGGUGGAAGACUUUAUAUACUUGAAUUGUAACUCAUCAACUAGUACGCUUCAGAUCUGGUUGAGAGGGACACAAAAGAAUGUGGGAAGGAUAUCAGCAGGCAGCAGAAUAACAAGCCUCCUCACAGCCAAUGACAUUGUUCUUUGUGGUACUGAGAAGGGAUUAAUUAAGGGCCUACCCAGGAGAUGGAGCCAGUUGAGCCGCAGUCCGUGAAGAAGCUUAGUUUUAAAUCCCUAAAGAGCGCGCUCGAUCUCUUCUCUCCAAUUCACGGCCAGCUAGCUCCUCCCGAUCCAGAUAGUUUUGUUGUUAGGAUUAGCUUGGCAUGAAGCGGGUGUGUGAUAAGUUAUAAUGGCAUUUGAAUUCACUAUGUGGAUAAAUGCCGAGUAAGGAAUUAAAAGCACAAAUGAACUUCCAAGAUCAGUUAAUUCUACUGCAACCAAUCCUGACAAUCAAUCUUCAGCACCUUCCAAUGCCCUCGCUCUUCCAGUUCUGCCGUAUACAGGAUCUAGUAUCGUUUGUUUUAUUUUGUUCAGGAAUUGCCUUGCCUCUGCCUCAGCUGACAACAUAAAGAAAUUCAGCCUUCAAAAGGAGAAUUCUUGCACAACAUGCUCUCUCAGCAGAAAACCAUCAUUAAUGCAAUGGCUAUCAAUGAGGAUGGUGUAAUGGUUACAGGAGGUGCGAAUUAUUUUAAUAUAAAUUAAUAAAUAAUUGGUUCAGUAUGAAUCAUCAUCUUAGUUCUACUGGUGUUGUAUGUCUUAAUGUGAUGAUUGGCAUCCACAGCUGACUGUGGGUUACAGGCUGGUAAAGUAAGGUUGAUAUGUAGCGUCAGCCCUAGCAGUGUGAUCAAUGGCCGUAAAAGCAUGAACUUGCCCCUCUAUACCUUAUUAACAACUGAAUCACUCAGUUGGGGUCUUGCUGGUCUGUACUAUGUCAAUUUUUAGGCUGAUCCAAAAAGAACAUUUGGCCUAAGUUUGUUUCAGUUUUGUUUGAUUGGACUGGAGGAGCAUAGAUAUAUUUUGACUUA